GGGGUAUAGCUCAGUUGGUUGAGUGCUUGCUUUGCAUGCACAGGGCCCUGAGUUCAAUCCUCAGCACCACCA
Molecule: transfer RNA, 72 nt
Filed under: Marmota monax (woodchuck)
Lineage: Eukaryota; Metazoa; Chordata; Mammalia; Rodentia; Sciuridae
Rfam family: tRNA
About the family: Transfer RNA (tRNA) molecules are approximately 80 nucleotides in length. Their secondary structure includes four short double-helical elements and three loops (D, anti-codon, and T loops).
Source: Rfam by way of RNAcentral